This 679-nucleotide long non-coding RNA is filed under the name Equus asinus (donkey). RNAcentral's name for it is "lncRNA (ENSEASG00005024612.1)". Lineage: Eukaryota; Metazoa; Chordata; Mammalia; Perissodactyla; Equidae. The record is from RNAcentral.
GUCAGGAGCGCGCGCGGGCGGGGGAGCGCGGCCGCGGUCACCAGCGAGCGCCGCGCCGCGGCCCGAGACCCGCCCUGGGGCCCGAGCCGAGCCGGCUGGCUGCGGCGCCGCCGAGGGCCUGGGGGGCCGGAGGGCCCGGGCGGCGGCUGCCCCGCGGCCGCGGCGCGCAGGGCGAGACCCCGCCAACUUCGGCGGCCGGGCCCGGGCGGGGGCCGUGGGCGCGAGCGGAGCCGCCCGGAGCCGGCGCGUCGGCGGAGCGAGUGAUCACCCUCUGCCCCAUCCCACUCUUCGCAGAAAGGAGCUGCCACGAGACUGUGAGUGUUGACCGUGCGAGGACCAAGGAGAGUCUUAGAUUUCAAGCUGUUUCAGUGCCGAAAGACAGCACCCGUGCCUGCCUCAGCCAAGCCUUGAGGAAGUUUGGUGGCAUUAGAAAUCUUCAAAGAAACCUCAGUCAGCUGUGCGCCUUUUCAGCAGCGUUACUGACAUUGUUACUGGCAGUUCUUCCCUGUGUAUGCUCUGGCCGCCUUGUGACUGGGCUCACGUGGCUCUUAGGGUGGCCGUGCUUUUUCAUCGUUGCUAGUGUGCUGUUUGCCUGAGAAGACUCAGCCCUCCGAUGGACCCCAGGGCCGUGUAAUCCCAAGUUAAUUAAAAAUAAACUUUUAUGAAUAUUUAAGAGUCA